RNAcentral lists this ribosomal RNA (441 nucleotides) under uncultured bacterium. RNAcentral describes it as "bacterial SSU rRNA". It matches the Rfam family "Bacterial small subunit ribosomal RNA", at positions 958 to 1400 of the family's 1533-position model. The record is from RNAcentral.
AACGCGAAGAACCUUACCUGGGCUUGAACCGCACAGGACCAGCUCCAGAAAUGGGGCCUUCCCGCAAGGGACUGGAGUCGAGGUGCUGCAUGGCUGUCGUCAGCUCGUGUCGUGAGAUGUUGGGUUAAGUCCCGCAACGAGCGCAACCCUUGUCCUGUGUUGGCAUGCCGCAAGGCGCAACUCGCAGGAGACCGCCAGCGAUAAGUUGGAGGAAGGUGGGAUGACGUCAAGUCAUCAUGGCCUUUAUGUCCAGGGCCACACACGUGCUACAAUGGGCGGUACAAAGCGCUGCCAACCCGCGAGGGGGAGCUAAUCGCCAAAAACCGUCCUCAGUUCGGAUUGCAGGCUGCAACUCGCCUGCAUGAAGCUGGAAUCGCUAGUAAUGCUAUAUCAGAACGAUAGCGUGAAUACGUUCCCGGGCCUUGUACACACCGUAGAGAC